UACGGAGGGGGCAAGCGUUAUUCGGAAUCAUUGGGCGUAAAGGGCGCGUAGGCGGCUUGGCAAGUCAAAGGUGAAAUCCCUCGGCCCAACCGAGGAACUGCCUUUGAUACUGCCUCGCUUGAGGCCGGGAGAGGGUAGCGGAAUUCCGCGUGUAGCAGUGAAAUGCGUAGAGAUGCGGAGGAACACCGAUGGCGAAGGCAGCCCCCUGGGCUAGCACUGACGCUCAGGCACGAAAGCGUGGGGAGCAAACAGG
RNAcentral lists this ribosomal RNA (253 nucleotides) under uncultured bacterium. RNAcentral describes it as "partial 16S ribosomal RNA". It matches the Rfam family "Bacterial small subunit ribosomal RNA", at positions 524 to 776 of the family's 1533-position model. The record is from RNAcentral.